Molecule: ribosomal RNA, 394 nt
Filed under: uncultured bacterium
Lineage: Bacteria
Description: partial 16S ribosomal RNA
Rfam family: Bacterial small subunit ribosomal RNA
Source: RNAcentral
CCUACGGGUGGCAGCAGUGAGGAAUAUUGGUCAAUGGGCGCGAGCCUGAACCAGCCAAGUCGCGUGAAGGAUGAAGGCCCUAUGGAUCGUAAACUUCUUUUAUAAGGGAAUAAAGUGUGGGACGUGUCCUAUUUUGUAUGUACCCUAUGAAUAAGGAUCGGCUAACUCCGUGCCAGCAGCCGCGGUAAUACGGAGGAUCCGAGCGUUAUCCGGAUUGAUUGGGUUUAAAGGGUGCGUAGGUGGCCUUUUAAGUCAGCGGUGAAAGUCUGGGGCUCAACCCUAGAAUUGCAGUUGAAACUGGGGGUCUUGAGUAUUGUAGAGGCAGGCGGAAUGCGGGGUGUAGCGGUGAAAUGCUUAGAUAUAACGAAGAACCCCGAUUGCGAAGGCAGCCUGC